AGAUUUCUUCGGGGCAGGGUGUAAUUCCCGACCGAUGGUGACAGUUAGAUUGAACAAGCAAUCGCUACAUGGCUGAAGUCCGUGACCCACGUUAUUCGUGGUUGACCCAGUGAGAGUCUGGGACCGACAGUUAAAGUCUGGAUGGGAGAAGAAAAGA
This is a regulatory RNA element of 157 nucleotides. It matches the Rfam family "FMN riboswitch aptamer (RFN element)". Rfam says of the family: The RFN element is a highly conserved domain that is found frequently in the 5'-untranslated regions of prokaryotic mRNAs that encode for flavin mononucleotide (FMN) biosynthesis and transport proteins. The record is from Rfam.